CUACGGGAGGCAGCAGUGGGGAAUUUUGCGCAAUGGGGGAAACCCUGACGCAGCAACGCCGCGUGAGUGAUGAAGGCCUUCGGGUCGUAAAGCUCUGUCAGAGGGAAAGAAAUGCAUAGUGGCUAAUACCCAUUAUGCUUGACGGUACCCUCAAAGGAAGCACCGGCUAACUCCGUGCCAGCAGCCGCGGUAAUACGGAGGGUGCAAGCGUUGUUCGGAAUUAUUGGGCGUAAAGCGCGUGUAGGCGGUUUCUUAAGUCUGAUGUGAAAGCCCCGGGCUCAACCUGGGAAGUGCAUUGGAAACUGGGGAACUUGAAUACGGGAGAGGGCAGUGGAAUUCCUGGUGUAGGAGUGAAAUCCGUAGAUAUCAGGAGGAACACCGGUGGCGAAGGCGGCUGCCUGGACCGAUAUUGACGCUGAGACGCGAAAGCGUGGGGAGCAAACAGGAUUAGAUACCCCGGU
This 461-nucleotide ribosomal RNA is filed under the name uncultured bacterium. RNAcentral's name for it is "bacterial SSU rRNA". It matches the Rfam family "Bacterial small subunit ribosomal RNA", at positions 339 to 791 of the family's 1533-position model. The record is from RNAcentral.